GUUGGUUUCAAAUUUACUCCAAGUUUUUCUUUCUUCUUUUUUUUUUCCCUUGAGGUUUCUAUGUACUCGCCGGAAAAAAGUAUAAAAAAAGGGA
This 94-nucleotide non-coding RNA is filed under the name Gloeochaete wittrockiana. Lineage: Eukaryota; Glaucocystophyceae; Gloeochaetales; Gloeochaetaceae. The record is from RNAcentral.